GACGAACGCUGGCGGCAUGCCUCAUACAUGCAAGUCGAGGGGUAACACUUCGGGUGACGACCGGCGAACGGGUGAGUAACGCGUGGGAAUCUGCCUUAGACUGUGGGACAACCUGAGGAAACUUGGGCUAAUACCGCAUAUUGCCGAAAGGUGAAAGAUUUAUCGGUCUAAGAUGAGCCUGCGUAUGAUUAGCUUGUUGGUGGGGUAAAAGCCUACCAAGGCGACGAUCAUUAGCUGGUUUGAGAGGAUGACCAGCCACAAUGGAACUGACACACGGUCCAUACUUCUACGGAAAGCAGCAGUAGGGAAUUUUGCGCAAUGGGCGAAAGCCUGACGCAGCAAUGCCGCGUGUAGGAAGAAGCAUCUUGGUGUGUAAACUACUGUCAGUGGGGAAUAAACAAAUGAAUGUACCCACAGAGGAAGCACCGGCUAACUACGUGCCAGCCGCCGCCGUAACAC
RNAcentral lists this ribosomal RNA (459 nucleotides) under uncultured bacterium. RNAcentral's name for it is "bacterial SSU rRNA". It matches the Rfam family "Bacterial small subunit ribosomal RNA", at positions 28 to 526 of the family's 1533-position model. The record is from RNAcentral.